Molecule: ribosomal RNA, 253 nt
Filed under: uncultured bacterium
Lineage: Bacteria
Description: partial 16S ribosomal RNA
Rfam family: Bacterial small subunit ribosomal RNA
Source: RNAcentral
UACGUAGGGCGCAAGCGUUAUCCGGAAUUAUUGGGCGUAAAGAGCUCGUAGGCGGUUUGUCGCGUCUGCCGUGAAAGUCCGGGGCUCAACUCCGGAUCUGCGGUGGGUACGGGCAGACUAGAGUGAUGUAGGGGAGACUGGAAUUCCUGGUGUAGCGGUGAAAUGCGCAGAUAUCAGGAGGAACACCGAUUGCGAAGGCAGGUACCUGGGCCUUUACUGACGCUGAGACUCGAAAGCUAGGGGAGCAAACAGG